RNAcentral lists this ribosomal RNA (253 nucleotides) under uncultured bacterium. RNAcentral's name for it is "partial 16S ribosomal RNA". It matches the Rfam family "Bacterial small subunit ribosomal RNA", at positions 524 to 775 of the family's 1533-position model. The record is from RNAcentral.
UACGUAGGUGGCAAGCGUUUGUCCGGAAUUAUUGGGCGUAAAGCGCACGUAGGCGGCUCUUUAAGUCGGGGGUGAAAUCCUGGAGCUCAACUCCAGAACUGCCUUCGAUACUGAAGAGCUCGAGUCCGGGAGAGGUGAGUGGAACUGCGAGUGUAGAGGUGAAAUUCGUAGAUAUUCGCAAGAACACCAGUGGCGAAGGCGGCUCACUGGCCCGGUACUGACGCUGAGGUGCGAAAGCGUGGGGAGCAACAGG